AAUAUAUGCUAUUGGUAGAAUUGAUGGGGAUAUGGCUGAGCCCAUUUUGUGAAUUGGGUGUCGUUUAAAAACCAAAUAUAUUGGGAUUUUGUGAUUACAUCUGCUUUUGAAUAAGAUUCAGAGCCGUCAUAGACUUGCUUUUCUGCCUCUUUGAAUCACAUAUCUCUAAAAUUAUGUGAUUUUUUUUAUAAUUGAAUCAAAUUUGGUUGCUAAUGUAAUGCACAACACUUUGGUGUUAGGAUUGAACUAUGAAAUUAGACCUCUUCUUCCUUGCAGGGCAGCCCCUCUUGCCCUAGAAUAAAUAAUAAUUUGUGAAUUUGUGUGAAAUUUGAGGGUUUUAGUCCUUUUAGAGUGAUAUUUGAAUAUGAAACCCUAGAUUAAAGUAUAAUUUGUGAACUUGUGUGAAAUUUGAGGGUUUUAGAGUGAUAAUUAAAUGGCAAUCAUGGUAUUUUUGUGUCAGCAUAAUUUCUACGGGUUGUCGUUUUCGAGUUAUUUUUAUGAAUGGGAUAAUUUUGUGUGUUACACGAGAAAGAAAUUAUUUUAAUGAAGUUUAUCUCAAUUUUUGUGUUCAUUUGUAGUUUGUUGCAAGAUUUGGGGUUUAACACUAUACUUAAACUUUUUUGCAUAACCAAUUUUCGUUGAAUGAAAAGAUGUUUCCGGACGCCUCGAAAUUGUUUAUUGAUAGCAAAAGUAUUUUGUUGAAUAAUGUGUCGCCUAUCGGAAGCACAACGGUAUCUUUUCAUCUUGAGUAGGCUUUAUAAGCUAUGUUAAUUGGACUCGGGUACUUGUGUUGGACUUGGUUCGUCCAUGUCUAAUGUCCAAGUAUCUGACUUAUGUCUUUUAUUUUUUUACUUGAAUGGAGUAAUGAAGUGUCCAUCUUCAUUUCAUAUUGUCUAAUAUUGUACUUCGGCAACUAAGUCUAAAUGAAGAGUCCAAGUAAUGAUAGUUAUUGGUUUUUCAUGUUUACUUUCAAUUUCCUAUGUUUCUGCACAUCUCUGAUUUCAGCCACAGGAAUUAGAGGGAUAUAUGUUUGCCUUUGCUAUCUACAUCAAUAAGAGAUUGGGUGAGGAAAUUAUAAGUGAUAAGAAUGAAGGUGGUAAUCAGAGUGGAGUUACUUUGUGUCAGAUACUAAAAGCCGUGAAGUUGAAGUACUUUGUCACACUAUGAUUUUGAAUAUGACAUUUAUAUAAGUGAAUUGUAUUUGUUGUUUAGGAUGUGAUUAUUUUUAUUUUUUUUACCAGUAUUGUAGAUUUUUUCCAAAGAGCUUCCUUAGUUUAUUGUUAAGGUUGGCCCAAUCUUAAGUAACAUCUAUGGUAAAGAUUGGGAGAAGAGACUUGAGGUGAAGGAGAUCCAGGACAAUUUUGUGCAUUUGAGCCUUGUAAGCAAUAUUUUAAGCAAGUUCCUCCUACAUAUUCUCAACAAGUGACCGACAAGGUUAGGGAAAGGUGGACUUCAUAUGUUACUAGAUACCAUCAACCAAAUGACGACGACGAUUUAUGUGAAUUUUAGAUCAAUAUGAUAUUGGUAUAUCUUAGCAUAAUUUUUUUUAAAUCAACAUUAAUUAGAAAGGUUUUAUGAUUUUUAACUCGUAUUUGUUUGUAUAGAACAAAUUUUGAAUGAAUGAUUCAAUUUAAUUGCGGUUGGAUGUUUUGAAUAUGUCAUUAUUGGUUGAAUGACAUUUUAAUGAGCUUUGUUUGGUUUAUGUGCUUCCCCAUUGGAGAUGAUAUUUGUUGAUGAGCUUCUUCUCCUUCCCAAAAAUCCAAAACCUAAAAUAUCCAAAGCCCUAAAUCCAAAUUCUUUAGUUAGCUUCUCCUCUCCUUUCCAAUCUUCUUUAGCUAGUUCCUCUUCUUUUAAUCCAAAUUCUUUAGCUAGUACCUCUUCUCUCCCCUCCCCCUCUCAAUUCAAAAAAAAAAUGUGUUCUUUAAUUAGAUUAGACUUUGUAUAUAUUGUCUUUUCUUGUAGUCAUUUGGCUUGAUGAUUCGAUUAGUGUCUUUGAUGGUAAAAUGAAUUCAAGUGAGCUUGUGAUAUAAUUGUCUUAGUUUUGCAAAUGACGGUUUAUUUAUGAAUUGUGGAAUAUGAUUGUUUAACUCUUAUGUGUAUGAUCCACUCAUAAUAGUCCUUGUUUGAUUUGCUACUAAUCACUACACUUUUACCAUCUUGUAUAUAAGAGACACUACUACAUCAAGAUCAAUGGUAACUCCUUCCCUUGUAUUCUUGUUUAUAAUCCUCUAAAAAAAAUUGCUUUUAGACUAGUCCUCAUUGAUGAUAUCGGAUUGCAUGUGAUAGAUAUUUGCUUUCUUUUGGUAAUAAAAUUUCGAACAUGGUUUAGAUAUCCUUGGUUGAACAUAGAAUUGGCUAGUUUAAGCUAGUGUGAGAAUAACCUUACCGAAUGUACGAGACUUAAGGUCUGGGAUUGUGGUAAGAAGGUGUCGCCCAUAUCAAAGGAAUUUGAACCCCAAAAGGUAAUAUUUGAUCCCACAUUGUUUCUAAAAGUGAGGUUUUAAUAUUUUUCAAGCCUACUACAUUUUGAAUGAGUGGCAAGGAUCCUCUUUGAUUUAGUACCUAGAUCGAGAACUUGAGUCCCAACUCCUAAGAUUGCGGCCUAAACUACUUUUAGUGAUUGAUUAAGGUUGUUAUGUAUUGUUCAUUCACAAAAAAAAAAUGAAGUUCAGGCAUAUCAUUCUUGUUUUCUUAGUUCAAUCUUUAAUUUAUUGUAAAUAAUAGUUUGUGAUGUAAAUGUCCAAGUUUGGAAAAAUGAAAAAAUAAAAAAAAAGAAAGAAAAAAAAAAGAGAAAUAAAAGAAGUGAUGAAUAGCCACCACCCUAGCAAUUAAACAAGCUUGGGGGUGCGUUUUUGUUUUAAGUUUAUUCAUAGUUAGUAAUUUGGGUCAAAGUUAGAAACCUCUUUAGGUUUGUUCUUAGUGUUAUAUAUCUUAUCUUGACUUUAAUUUCAAAACACUUCUACUUUUCUCUAUGCCUUUACUUUGUGUCGUAAUCCUUGAGUUUUGUAAUAUUAGUAGAGUAGUUGAAGCCAUUGUCGGUGGAGGGAGUUGGUUCACAAGCAUAUGGAGAGGGUACUUAUCAUUGAGAUGUCCAGUGUUCUAAACCUUCUUUUGUCUAAUUUUCUUGCGGCUCCUUCGAGGAGUCAUGAGACACUAACAUUAGGGGGAAUUUGAACUUUGUGUUGGGGACGCAGUAAGAUAAGUUGAAUGGACCAAAGUUGAGUACAUUCGGGAAGGUUAGCUAGGUCUUGGCUAGUCAUGACCGUAGUUGAUCUUAGGCAUAUACCUCAUGCUCGAGUUUUAUUGCUUAAGGAAUCUUUUAUCUUUACAUGUGCUUUUCUUUGAGCAGACUAAUCUAUUGGUUUUGCGCCAAGUGAAUUACUUAGGGACAAGCAAUUGGCUAGCUUGAGGGAAUUUGAUAAGUAUUUUAUUUGUCCACUUAUCAUGGCACUUUAAACAUAAUUUUGUACUCUUUCCCCUACUUCAAUCCCUUUUUCUAACUCUUUUCGUUCACAUUUAUUGCUUUUAGCUUCCCCAAUCUUUUUUAUGUGUGUGUUCAUAUAGCAUAAGCAUGAAAAACUAUUUUGGAAGCGAAGCAAAGCAGGAGCGGGCGUGCACCCCAAGGAGCGGGCGCUCCUUCCUGAUCCACCACAAUCUGCCUACCGCCUGCACUUUAAGGAGCGGGUGUGCAAUCUUCAAGGAGCGGGCGCUCCUCCCUGAUCAUCUCCAUUCUGCCCUAAACUGCUGCACUAGGAGCGGGCACGUUGAGAGCCAAGGAGCAGGCGCUCCAUAUAGAGGAGUGGGCGCUCCUCCUGUUCUAAAUCCCGAUUUUUUACGGAUUUUAUGAUGUAAUUUUUGGGCAUAUAAAUAGGACGCUUGACUUCAUAUUUUGGGAUCUUCUUUCCCUUUAGUUUUCUUAGGCCCUUAGUUUCUCUAAACCCUCAUUAAUUAUCUUAGAUCUUCUCAAACUCAAUCAUUGUAGUAUAUUAAUUGAAGAUUGUUCUCUUGAAUUCAA
Long non-coding RNA from Chenopodium quinoa (quinoa), 4015 nucleotides. RefSeq lists it as uncharacterized. The record is from RefSeq and is a predicted model, not a curated record. The transcript has 3 exons. NCBI's taxonomy places the organism in Eukaryota, Viridiplantae, Streptophyta, Magnoliopsida, Caryophyllales, Amaranthaceae.